This 74-nucleotide transfer RNA is filed under the name Clostridia bacterium. RNAcentral describes it as "tRNA-Gly". It matches the Rfam family "tRNA". From Rfam's summary of the family: Transfer RNA (tRNA) molecules are approximately 80 nucleotides in length. Their secondary structure includes four short double-helical elements and three loops (D, anti-codon, and T loops). The record is from RNAcentral. Lineage: Bacteria; Bacillati; Bacillota; Clostridia.
GCAGGUAUAAUUUAGUGGUAAAAUACGGCCUUGCCAAGGCUGAUUCGCGGGUUCAAUUCCCGCUACCUGCUCCA